Molecule: long non-coding RNA, 8467 nt
Filed under: Triticum aestivum (bread wheat)
Lineage: Eukaryota; Viridiplantae; Streptophyta; Magnoliopsida; Poales; Poaceae
Description: long non-coding RNA (TAES_LNC026048)
Source: RNAcentral
GCCGCUCUAUCGGCCAUCCCACGGUCGAGGGGAUGGAUAAGAGCAAGCCCUCGACGCUCUCCCUCUCGCCGAAACCCUAGGCCCUCAGUUUUCCCCUCCCUCACAUCUCACACACGAUCUCGAGGUCGCUAGAGCGGAACCGUGGCCGCAUCAUCAUCAACCUCGAGCGUCGUAGCGUCCCCGAGCCUCGAGAGGAGGUCCGAAGGAUGCUGCUCCUUCGUCUUCUUCGACCACGAACAUGGGUUCGUCUGGAGAUGCAACACACCGACGGAUCGGUCUUCAUCUUCCCCGUCGGCCGCCGCACAACCUCGCCUCGAUUCGUCGCCUCCGGAGCUUCCCCGGUGGUCUCGCGCUCGCCAAUCACCUCCUGGUGAGCUCCGCCUUCCGUCCCCUCCCUUCACCCCAGUAGAUCCUUCGACGUUUGGCUCCACUGCUGCCGCGCUCGUGCUCGUGGUGAGCAUGCGCUCACCGCGCCGUGGUCGUACCCUGUGCCUCCAGCCUGCAUCGGCGCGCCCCACUGCCAGCUAACCCGUGUGCCGUCCGUGCCUUGGCAGUGCCCUGUGCGUGCGCCUGCAUUGCUGUGCUUCCCGCUACGCCCGCGCCCUGCUCGCCUCCCUACUGGCUGCGCGCCCGGCAAGGCUGUUGUGCUCGGGCCGCGCCUUGCUCGCCUGCUGGUUGCCUACUGGGCUGCUGUUAUACAUGCUGCUACUGCUGCUUAGUCCCCACUGCUCUGCUUGCCUCGCCGGUGCUGCUGCUUUUCUGCUACUCCUGCUUGGUGCCAACUCUGCUGCUGAUGCAUACGGCCGCUAGUAUCGCUGCUCUACUGCUGUUGUAACUGCUGGCUGUCGUGCACUAGUGGCCGGCUUGCAUGCCCAAGCACACCAUGCGUGCAUGCCCAAGCACACUAGUGGCCGGCUUGGGCCAUGGCCGAUGGGCAUAGCCCCUGUUUAGACCAGUAGAUGAUAAUUAGUGGUUACACUAGUCUAUGCACAGAUGACAUGUGGGUCUCCUGGAGCUUAAAAUAAAUAACAAAAAUAAUUAGAUGCAGUCUAUGACAUCCGGGUCCAGCGGGCACUGUUUGUUUUGACCAGUCAACUCUGACUGGGCUAUUGACUUUUGACCCGGCCCCGCUCAUCACCCUUUGAGGCUACUGCCACUGGGUACACUUAUGGGUGCUCAAAACAGUUUGCCCAAUUAACUUCGAAUUAAAAGUAUUCCUAAAAAACAAUAAAACAUGAAAAAAAUUGUAUAAAAUAAUUCGUAGCUCGAAUGAAAAAAUUUUGUACAUGAAAGUUGCUCAGAAUGACGAGACGAAUCCGGGUGCGCAGCCUGUUCGUCCGCCACGCAUCCCUAACAUAGCGAACAAGCGACUUUUCCCCUCUGGUUCAUCUGUCCGAAAACGCGAAACACCAGGGAUAUUUUCCCGGAUGUUUCCCCCCCUUCACCGGUACCACCUCAUACCGCGUUAGGGCACACCUAGCUUCACGCGUUGUCAUGUCAUGUAUCAUCAUGCAUUUGUUUGCAUUAUGUUUAUUGUUUCUUCCCCUCUUCUCUCGCUAGACACCGAGACCGACGCUGCUGCUACCCAGUACGACUACGGUGUUGAUGACCCCUCUCUCUUGCCAGAGCAACCAGGCAAGCCCCCCCCCCUUGAUCACCAGAUAUCGCUUACUCUCCUCUAUACUGCUUGCAUUAGAGUAGUGUAGCAUGUCACUGCUUUCCGUUAAUCCUAUUCUGAUGCAUAGCCUGUCAAUUUUGCUACAACUGUUGAUACCUUACCUGCAAUCCUAAUGCUUAGUAUAGGAUGCUAGUUUAUCAUCAGUGGCCCUACAUUCUUGUCCGUCUGCCAUGCUAUACUAUCGGGCCGUGAUCACUCGGGAUGUGAUCACGGAUAUAUACUAUAUACUUUAUACAUGAUACAUGUGAUGACUAAAAUCGGGUUGGCUCGAGGAGUACCCGCGGUUGAUUCACGAAUUGGGCCCUGGAAGGACAUACUUUCCCGACGGCCCUCUGUGUGGAUCUUUGUGGCGAAGCGACAGCGCAGGUUGAGACCACCUAUGAGAGAGGUGGGCCUGGCCCUGGUCGGCGUUCGCGGUUAUUUCAAGAUAACAUGUUUAACGGGAUCUUGGUAUUUGAUCUGAGUCUGGCCACUGGCCUAUACGCACUAACCAUCUACGCGGGGACAGUUAUGGGCACUCGACGUCGUGGUAUCAGCCGAAUCCUUCGUGACGUCAGCAACUGAGCGGCGCGCGCUGGAUUGGACCGUAAGCCUGCUCUUGUAUUAAGGGGGCUAGUUCUGGUUCCGGCCGCGUUCGCAACAUGCAGGUGUGCAAAGGGCGAUGGGCCCAGACCCCUGCGCCAUAGGAUUUAGACCGGCGUGCUGACCUCUCUGUUGUCCCUAGGUAGGGCUGCAACGUGUUGAUCUUCCGAGGCCGAGCAUGACCCAGAAAAGUGUGUCCGGACAAAGGGGAUCGAGCGUGUUGGGAAAUGUGGUGCACCCCUGCAGGGAAGUUGAUCUAUUCGAAUAGCCAUGUCCCUCGGUAAAAGGACGACCCAGAGUUGUACCUUGACCUUAUGACAACUAGAACCGGAUACUUAAUAAAACACACCCUUCCAAGUGCCAGAUACAACCGGUAAUCGCUCUCUCACAGGGCGGCGAAGGGAGGAUCAUCGAUUAGGAUUAUGCUAUGCGAUGAUACUGGGUGAACUUAUCAUCUACUCUCUUCUUCUGCUGCAAGAUGGAGGUUACCACAAGCGUAGUCUUCGACAGGAUUAGCUAUCCCCCUCUUAUUCCGGCAUUCUGCAGUUCAGUCCACAUAUGAUACCCUUACUCCAUUUGAUACCAAUGCAUACAUAUGUAGUGUAGCUCCUUGCUUGCGAGUACUUUGGAUGAGUACUCACGCUUGCUUUGCUCCCUCUUUUUCCCCUUUCUAUACCCGAUUGCUGCGACCAUACGUUGGAGCCCAGGAGCCAGACGCCACCGUUAACGACGACUCCUACUACACUGGAGGUGCCUACUACUACGUGCAGCCCGCUGACGACGACCAGGAGUAGUUUAGGAGGAUCCCAGGCAUGAGGCAUGCGCCUCUUUCGAUCUGUAUCUCAGUUUGUGCUAGCCUUCUUAAGGCAGACUUGUUUAACUUAUGUUUGUACUCAGAUAUUGUUGCUUCCGCUGACUCGUCUAUGAUCGAGCUUUUGUAUUCGAGCCCUCGAGGCCCCUGGCUUGUAAUAUGAUGCUUGUAUGACUUAUUUUAUUCGUAGAGUUGUGUUAUGAUAUCUUCCCAUGAGUCCCUGAUCUUGAUCGUACACGUUCGCGUGUAUGAUUAGUGUACGAUUGAAUCGGGGGCGUCACAAGUUGGUAUCAGAGCCGACUGCCUGUAGGAAUCCCCCUUCCACACUCCUUGGCCGAAGUUGAGUCUAGUCGAUGAAAAUUGUUUUACUCACAUGGAUGUGCGGCCCAUGGGCCCACGUCGCCAUUGGGUGGUAUUAGGAUCUUUUACUCCUUGAUGUUUACUCUGGGAUUCUGAUCUCUUUUCUAUUCGGGUUAAAUGAUUUUACUAAUUAUAACUCUAGGUUCUUGUUACUACUUCUCACGGAGAGCCCCUCACUCUAGAUGAUUGCUUGGUGCACCAAAAGAUUCCGAAGAUAAUCUUCGUUGUUCUCUCAAGAGACUUGUGCCCACCGCCUUUGCAAAUUCCCUACCACUGUUAUAUCAUUAUGGAUAACUACAUACACUUGUCGUUUCAAUCCCGUUGAUCUUGUUAUUUAAAGAUACCCCGAAAUUCUCUCUGUUGUUUUGAGAAUACUUUGUUACCACAUGAACACCCCUACGUAUAAUUCCUCGCACUUACCGAGUAUCCGCUCAUCCCUAGUUAUUUAUGUGUUUCACUAAGGUCUUCGAAAUAAUAUUCGAUCUUCCGAAAAUCCUUAGCAGCUUAUUGCUCUUGUAAAUCUUCCUUGCUUGCAUUAUGGUUAAUCCCAUAAGUAUAGAAUCUUAUUGGCAUCCUUUGCCACUAUCAUUUUGAGCCCAUUGAUUCAUUAAGUGCGAAUGCUCGCAAUCCUCAACUAGAUCCUAGAAUUCAUCCUUCCGGCUCAGACGGCAUUCUAAACAUGAGCUGGUUCUCGACCAAUCAAAUUUGCGUCGAUUGUACCCUUAGGUCUGUUCAACUUAUCCACCCUUGAUCAGAGCGUAUGCUUAUGAUCCUUCAUUUUGGAAAUCAUAAUUCCUUUGAUAUCUAAGCAUCGAAUUAUUCAGAUGUUUCUAUAAUCCAAUGACUUUGCAUUGAUUUCUUCCUCUGAUUAUGUGCCGAUGCUCACAUCAGCUCUGUUAUGGACCGUCAAGUCCUUUGUUGAAUUAUCAUCCGAAAGUGUCCUUCAUAUAAUAAACCUUGAGUAGUUCCUUCUCUGAUAUAUAAUGCCAUUGGUAAAUCCUAUUCUCUGAUUGGCCAACCAUGCUCUGCUUUUGAGCUGGUGGUAUUUACUAUUGAAGCUUGUGGUAUAGGUUUCCACGAUACCCUGACGGGUUGAACCUAUGCCUUCCUUAAUAUGUGUGAACUCGAAAGUUUUUGCGAGUCAUACUCUUCUGGUAUUUUGCUAGAUAAAAUUUCAACACUACAACUUCAUCGAAGGCGAGAAGUGAAUGAAAGAUUAUGCAUUGGAGAAGUGGGAGUCGACCUUGAACUUUGCGUUCAUGCCCAUGGACACGAUGCUGAUCUUUUCAUGAAAGCUUCUCAUAAAAAUAAUUAUCCCCUUAAGAUAAGUUCAUCUUAUAUCUUUGAUCUGGUCAUUUGCAAUUGUGGUUCCGACCAUAUUGUUCUCCCUUGUUUUCAUUUCUCAGACAAGUUAAAGCCCUUGUCUUUUCCAGAUCAACACAUCACCACAACCUCUAUUUCUGAUCUUCCUCGGGUAUUACCCUCCGGUAUCUCGAGAAUAUCAAAGAGCCGUGUUGCUUCCUAUGAGUCUUCAUCUAGUAUUGCCUCUCACAGAUUUCAGAUUUCCCCGGGGUUCUGAGUUAUUAGUCACUCGAGAACACCGAUAAGUGAAUGAGUUAAGCUUACGUCUUGUUGCUUACGAGUUUAAUAAUCCUUCAAGUCAUUCCUAGCCUGAGCGGCUAUAUCAUUAUCAUGCAAACUUUUAAUUAUGCUACAUGGUCCUUCUUCCCGGAGCACAAUUUUCGAUAAUGAGUUAAGCUUACGUCGAUUUUCCUCAUCAUAUCAUUUCGCCUUGAACAACAAGCUUGAUUUCGAGUCUGUGACAUACCCAUGGUCCCAAUAACCUUUCGCUUCAUCAUCCCUUUGACUUGAUGUCGUUGCUGGUUGAUUACAUCUUCAUGAAAUCUCUCGACAAAUGUGUCGUGAUCAUCAUCAACCUUAUGAGCUCUUGCAAGAUAUCAAUCAAAUUCAUGAUGAGAAAUAUCAUCCUUGCCCUCGAUGAUUUGUGUUAUCAUCGGCCACUUUAUUGCCUUCCCUCCAACACAAACUUGAUUGUGUUUUGUGUUAUACCUUGAGUUCCUUGAUUUCCAACAUUUGUUUUUCUUUACCUUGGAAUAUUACCACCUUUUAUGUCAAGAUGUCGAGGGAAAUUUCACCACCUCUUGAGAACUCUUAAUACAAGUGAUACUUCUCACCAUCACCAUUCCUUCUUGGUCCCCGUAUUGUUUAUAACUGGAAUGCCGAGAAAUGAACUAUGAUGUGUGAAUUCAAAACUUCUAGUAACCCUAUUGCUUGUAAGUUACGAACGAUAAUUUCUUUCUUCUUGUGUUGAUUAUUGACUCACCAUUCUAACAUCGACCGUGCUACUUAGUCCAUCUUCUAGGUGCACGUUUCGAUCAUUGUUCAUUCGAGUAUGUGCUCCUCGAAACAUACUUUGUUAUAUACUUCGACAUGUCCAAUAAAUUACCUUAUUCACAUAAUUGUGGAAAUCCAUCCUUUGGAAAUCUCGAUGAAUUGUCGCUGAGUCCCUCAGCCACCUCCUCAUCCUCUCCUUGAUUUACUGAUGAGCUCUUGUUUCGGAACUCGCUUCCAUGGUUCAUUUCCCGAGAGUCUUACAAUGUCAUCUCAUCAAUUUGUGUCAUACCUUUUUCUUCUCAGGCAUCCUGAGUCUGAGGUAUCCCGCCCCCAAUCAGAUCUGAAUCUUGGUCGGAUAUGCUAGUUGGAACAUAAUUCCAAGAGUUAUAACACUGCUCUUUUAUGACCCGGUAAGGUGAUGUCAUGCCUCGCACCCCUGGCCGACGACCCUAUUGAUAUAGUUUCCUCUUAACAAGGUUAUCCAUUCUUCCAUGAGGAAAUGGUAAGACUUACUCUACAAAUUGUUCCUGAUGAAUCCUUCGUGUAUCCAAGGUUUGACCUUUGCUUGAAGACCAUGUCAAUGCUAUCUCGAAGCAUGUCUGUGGUACUUUGAUUUUCAAUAAGAACAUUUGAAGCACAAUGCUAAAUUUUCUUUAUCAAAUUAUCCAAACACCGUUGUAUGGGUAAUGUCAUGAAAAUUCUCCCCCUUCCCUAAAAGGGUUUUCUACAUUAUAUCCCGUCAUGGAUAAUGCCCUGUUUGUCCUUGGGAAGGAUAUACCCCUAAAAUAUGUGUUUAAACACAUUUUCCUUUCCAUUGUUCUAUUUAACCUAAUGAUCACAUUUUCCUUUCCAUUCGUUUGUUUAACCUUUCUUGUGAUAUAUAUAAUCUAAGCAGUAAUAAUUCUCUGCUUAUGUAAACACCUCAGAGUACAACUCUAUCACUAAGACCUUGUUACUAUUGUUGAAGACAUUUCGGAAACCAUCGAUGGACGAGAACUUUACCUAUUGGUCUGCCUCGUUCAACGAGCAAGAAAAUGGUUCUCUUCGUCCCUCGCCCUUGGUACCGACAUUGUUGCCGACAUAACUGAUGGGCUACCCUCUGACAUGACCGUGCAAGAUGUCAACGCCCUUCCUACUUUUAAACCACAUGGUGGGCCCAUAACCCACGGUUCCACAUGAUCGAAACCGGACUCUCCUGUACAUCCCUGUUCGAAGUUAUCCCUUGCGCUUCGUUUCAUAUGUAAUUCGCGAGCCACCUUCCUAGUGAUCAAUUCUGGUAUCGGACACAAUACUUAUUCACGUUGCUCUGAACCCCUUUUCACACUUUGUUUCAAGCAACGAACGAUUGCCUAUCCGCUUGAAACUUCUUACUGCACCUUCCUACGUUGCUCUCAAUAUUUCCUUAAGUUUCUAUUCGAGAGUUACUUUCCGCCACCUUCCCCGAUGUUAUCGAUCAGAUAGUCAACCUUGUAGUGGUCCGUUCUCCCAGAAUAACCCCGCCUUAUUCUACCGUAAGUAUGAUAGAGUUUCCGAAGAAAGGACGCCGACUUCAUCAUGAUGACCUGAAGCAGAGAAAUGAAGAUAUCAACAUAGUGGAUCUACCUCUUCGAGAAGAGCAACCAAGACCAAGAAGGAUCGUUAGAAUUUCGUAACCUAGUUUUUCCCCUUACUCCCCUCUAAAAUCUCGGGACGAGAUUUCUUGUAGUGGAGGAGAAUUGUGACGCCCAGAUAAUUAAGCUACAGUAACCCUCUACUAAUGUUGCCACGUCACCAUGAUUACUAUUGAUAAUCUCGCGAUGAUUUAAAACCCGUUGAAAUUUCAAAUUUAAAUAACAAGUCAAAUUAUAAAUUCAUCAAACAGAGAUUUAAAAAUGUUCAAAAGGUAGUAGAUAUUCACUAAAUAAUUAUAGAGCGUCAAUCAACAUAUUGUACAUAACUAUCUGCCUCUAGUUUAAUUAAAACGGGAACCAACUGUGAUUAAAUUAACCAUUUACGGUUGAACAAAUAUUUAUACAAUUCAAAAAUAUUUGAAACCUUUUUUUGCAACCUAAUAAUAUUGCUUAGCAUUUAAAUCUGAAGUUUCAUACUAGACAAAACACGUUUGGUAGCAAAAUAGUAUAAACAGUAGCUAAGUGUAUAACAACAAAAAAAGAGAUUAAAACUGAAGUUGCCCUGUGCAAUUUGGCUCACUAUGAUCAAAAGCUAGCCAGCCUAUUAUGCCUUAUGGGCACUACACGCACACGACCUGUCCCAGCCCAAGUCGUUGGUCAUCCCCAACCUCUCGUGCCGUGGACGCCGCUGGUCCGUCUAGCGUGUGGAUGCCGCGCUGUCGGCCAUCCCACGGUCGAGGGGAUGGAUAAGAGCAAGCCCUCGACGCUCUCCCUCUCGCCGAAACCCUAGGCCCUCAGUUUUCCCCUCCCUCACAUCUCACACACGAUCUCGAGCUCGCUAGAGCGGAACCGUGGCCGCAUCAUCAUCAACCUCGAGCGUCGUAGCGUCCCCGAGCCUCGAGAGGAGGUCCGAAGGAUGCUGCUCCUUCGUCUUCUUCGACCACGAACAUGGGUUCGUCUGGAGAUGCAACACACCGACGGAUCGGUCUUCAUCUUCCCCGUCGGCCGCCGCACAACCUCGCCUCGAUUCGUCGCCUCCGGAGCUUCCCCGGUGGUCUCGCGCUCGCCAAU